RNAcentral lists this ribosomal RNA (394 nucleotides) under uncultured bacterium. Its description in RNAcentral is "bacterial SSU rRNA". It matches the Rfam family "Bacterial small subunit ribosomal RNA", at positions 505 to 898 of the family's 1533-position model. The record is from RNAcentral.
GUGUCAGCCGCCGCGGUAAGACGAACCGUCCUAACGUUGUUCGGAAUCACUGGGCUUAAAGGGCGCGUAGGCGGUCGGCAAAGUCAGGGGUGAAAUCUUUCGGCUUAACCGGAAAAGUGCCUUUGAAACUAGUCGACUCGAGCGAGAUAGGGGCAUGUGGAACUUCCGGUGGAGCGGUGAAAUGCGUUGAUAUCGGAAGGAACGCCGGUGGCGAAAGCGACAUGCUGGAUCUCUUCUGACGCUGAGGCGCGAAAGCUAGGGGAGCAAACGGGAUUAGAUACCCCGGUAGUCCUAGCCCUAAACGAUGAGUACUAGGUUGUGGACUUGACAUGGGUUCACAGCCGAAGCAAAAGUGCUAAGUACUCCGCCUGGGGAGUAUGGUCGCAAGGCUGAA